UACGGAGGGUGCGAGCGUUGUCCGGAAUCAUUGGGCGUAAAGGGCGCGUAGGUGGCGGGACAAGCGUGCGGUGAAAGCCUGGGGCUCAACCCCGGGUCGGCCGUGCGAACUGUUUUGCUUGAGCACUGUAGAGGCAGGCGGAAUUCCGGGUGUAGCGGUGGAAUGCGUAGAGAUCCGGAAGAACACCGGUGGCGAAGGCGGCCUGCUGGGCAGUAGCUGACGCUGAGGAGCGAAAGCGUGGGGAGCGAACAGG
This 253-nucleotide ribosomal RNA is filed under the name uncultured bacterium. Its description in RNAcentral is "partial 16S ribosomal RNA". It matches the Rfam family "Bacterial small subunit ribosomal RNA", at positions 524 to 776 of the family's 1533-position model. The record is from RNAcentral.